RNAcentral lists this long non-coding RNA (293 nucleotides) under Setaria viridis. Its description in RNAcentral is "long non-coding RNA (SVIR_LNC003213)". The record is from RNAcentral. Lineage: Eukaryota; Viridiplantae; Streptophyta; Magnoliopsida; Poales; Poaceae.
AUAAAAUCAUAGAAACGUACACAUGAAACAGUACACGAAAUUAAACUUACAUGAAAAAUCCUUAAUUACAUGAAAACUUACAUGAAAAAAUACACAAAAAAGCUUGAAUGAAACUUAAUUACAUGAAAUGUCUUUAAUGUAUUACAAGUUAAUGUACAUACACGAACUUAUAGAAGAACAACGUGAAACCAUACUAAUUUAUACUAAUAUCUACAUAUACUAAUUUCUACUGAAUUCUAUCAAAAUUGAAGCGUAACUUAUUUAUAGAGAUUUCUACUAAUUUAUUAAAAUUU